Molecule: ribosomal RNA, 178 nt
Filed under: uncultured Flavobacterium sp.
Lineage: Bacteria; Pseudomonadati; Bacteroidota; Flavobacteriia; Flavobacteriales; Flavobacteriaceae
Description: partial 16S ribosomal RNA
Rfam family: Bacterial small subunit ribosomal RNA
Source: RNAcentral
CUCCUACGGGAGGCAGCAGUGAGGAAUAUUGGUCAAUGGGCGCAAGCCUGAACCAGCCAUGCCGCGUGCAGGAUGACGGUCCUAUGGAUUGUAAACUGCUUUUGCACAGGAAGAAACACUACUUCGUGAGGUAGCUUGACGGUACUGUGAGAAUAAGGAUCGGCUCACUCCGUGCCAG